GACGAACGCUGGCGGCGCGCCUAACACAUGCAAGUCGAACGGAAAGGCCUGCUUUCCCUUGUGGUUUGCUGGUACUCGAGUGGCGAACGGGUGAGUAACACGUGAAUGAUCUGCCCCCAACUUGGGUAUAAGCCCGGGAACCUGGGUCGAAUACCCGUUAGGACUGCAGGGUGGUGCCUUGAGUGGAGAACGAUUUGCUAGUGGUUGGGGAUGAGCUCGCGGACUAUCAGCUUGUUGGUGCGGUAACUGCCCACCAAGGCGGCGACGGGUAGCCGGCCUGUGAGGGUGGACGGCCACAUUGGGACUGGGAUACGGCCCAGACGCCUGCGGGCGGCAGGAGUGGGGAAUCUUGCACAGUGGGCGGAAGCCUGAUGCGGCGACGCCGCGUGGGAGAUGACGGCAUUCGGGUUGUAAGCUCCUUUCGACCGCGAGGAAGCCACCUGGUUGGAAGGGUGGUGACGGUAGUGGUAGAAGAAGCACCGGCUAACUACGUG
This 494-nucleotide ribosomal RNA is filed under the name uncultured bacterium. RNAcentral describes it as "partial 16S ribosomal RNA". It matches the Rfam family "Bacterial small subunit ribosomal RNA", at positions 28 to 507 of the family's 1533-position model. The record is from RNAcentral.